GUGCCAGCAGCCGCGGUAAUACGAAGGGGGCGAGCGUUGUCCGGAUUUAUUGGGCGUAAAGAGCUCGUAGGCGGUUCAACAAGUCGGUCGUGAAAGUUUAGGGCUUAACCCUGAAAUGUCGAUCGAUACUGUUGUGACUAGGAUAUGGUAGAGGUGAGUGGAAUUCCGAGUGUAGCGGUGAAAUGCGUAGAUAUUCGGAGGAACACCAAUAGCGAAGGCAGCUCACUGGGCCACUAUCGACGCUGAGGAGCGAAAGCUAGGGGAGCAAACAGGAUUAGAUA
This 281-nucleotide ribosomal RNA is filed under the name uncultured bacterium. Its description in RNAcentral is "partial 16S ribosomal RNA". It matches the Rfam family "Bacterial small subunit ribosomal RNA", at positions 505 to 784 of the family's 1533-position model. The record is from RNAcentral.